Molecule: ribosomal RNA, 271 nt
Filed under: uncultured archaeon
Lineage: Archaea
Description: partial 16S ribosomal RNA
Rfam family: Archaeal small subunit ribosomal RNA
Source: RNAcentral
CUGCGCCACAAGUGGCAAUCAUUUUUAUUGGGCCUAAAGCGUCCGUAGCUGGUUUAGUAAAUCUCUUGUGAAAGUGUUUAGCUUAACUAAACAAAUGGCAGGAGACACUGCUAAACUCGGGACCGGUAGGAGUCAGAAGUAUGGGAGGGGUAACGGUAAAAUGUAAUAAUCCCUCCUAGACUACCUGUGGCGAAGGCGUCUGACUAGGACGGAUCCGACAGUGAGGGACGAAAGCCAGGGGAGCGAACCGGAUUAGAUACCCGAGUAGUCC